UACGGGGGGAGCAAGCGUUGUUCGGAUUUACUGGGCGUAAAGGGCGCGUAGGCGGCCAGCACAAGUCAGUUGUGAAAUCUCCGAGCUUAACUCGGAAAGGUCAACUGAUACUGUGCGGCUAGAGUGCGGAAGGGGCAACUGGAAUUCUUGGUGUAGCGGUGGAAUGCGCAGAUAUCAGGAAGAACACCAACGGCGAAGGCAGCUCGCUAGGACGGUACUGACGCUGAGACGCGAAAGCGUGGGGAGCGAACAGG
Molecule: ribosomal RNA, 254 nt
Filed under: uncultured bacterium
Lineage: Bacteria
Description: partial 16S ribosomal RNA
Rfam family: Bacterial small subunit ribosomal RNA
Source: RNAcentral